This 743-nucleotide ribosomal RNA is filed under the name Pseudomonas frederiksbergensis. RNAcentral describes it as "bacterial SSU rRNA". It matches the Rfam family "Bacterial small subunit ribosomal RNA", at positions 21 to 757 of the family's 1533-position model. Lineage: Bacteria; Pseudomonadati; Pseudomonadota; Gammaproteobacteria; Pseudomonadales; Pseudomonadaceae. The record is from RNAcentral.
GGCUCAGAUUGAACGCUGGCGGCAGGCCUAACACAUGCAAGUCGAGCGGCAGCACGGGUACUUGUACCUGGUGGCGAGCGGCGGACGGGUGAGUAAUGCCUAGGAAUCUGCCUGGUAGUGGGGGAUAACGUUCGGAAACGAACGCUAAUACCGCAUACGUCCUACGGGAGAAAGCAGGGGACCUUCGGGCCUUGCGCUAUCAGAUGAGCCUAGGUCGGAUUAGCUAGUUGGUGAGGUAAUGGCUCACCAAGGCGACGAUCCGUAACUGGUCUGAGAGGAUGAUCAGUCACACUGGAACUGAGACACGGUCCAGACUCCUACGGGAGGCAGCAGUGGGGAAUAUUGGACAAUGGGCGAAAGCCUGAUCCAGCCAUGCCGCGUGUGUGAAGAAGGUCUUCGGAUUGUAAAGCACUUUAAGUUGGGAGGAAGGGCAGUUACCUAAUACGUGAUUGUUUUGACGUUACCGACAGAAUAAGCACCGGCUAACUCUGUGCCAGCAGCCGCGGUAAUACAGAGGGUGCAAGCGUUAAUCGGAAUUACUGGGCGUAAAGCGCGCGUAGGUGGUUCGUUAAGUUGGAUGUGAAAUCCCCGGGCUCAACCUGGGAACUGCAUUCAAAACUGUCGAGCUAGAGUAUGGUAGAGGGUGGUGGAAUUUCCUGUGUAGCGGUGAAAUGCGUAGAUAUAGGAAGGAACACCAGUGGCGAAGGCGACCACCUGGACUGAUACUGACACUGAGGUGCGAA